This 446-nucleotide ribosomal RNA is filed under the name uncultured bacterium. RNAcentral describes it as "partial 16S ribosomal RNA". It matches the Rfam family "Bacterial small subunit ribosomal RNA", at positions 354 to 811 of the family's 1533-position model. The record is from RNAcentral.
UGGGGGAAUAUUGCACAAUGGGCGCAAGCCUGAUGCAGCAACGCCGCGUGAGGGAUGACGGCCUUCGGGUUGUAAACCUCUUUUAGCAGGGAAGAAGCGAAAGUGACGGUACCUGCAGAAAAAGCACCGGCUAACUACGUGCCAGCAGCCGCGGUAAUACGUAGGGUGCAAGCGUUGUCCGGAAUUAUUGGGCGUAAAGAGCUCGUAGGCGGUCUGUCGCGUCUGCUGUGAAAUCCCGAGGCUCAACCUCGGGCCCGCAGUGGGUACGGGCAGACUAGAGUGCGGUAGGGGAGAAUGGAACUCCUGGUGUAGCGGUGGAAUGCGCAGAUAUCAGGAAGAACACCGAUGGCGAAGGCAGUUCUCUGGGCCGUAACUGACGCUGAGGAGCGAAAGCGUGGGGAGCGAACAGGAUUAGAUACCCUGGGUAGUCCACGCCGUAAAACGUU